This 355-nucleotide ribosomal RNA is filed under the name uncultured bacterium. RNAcentral describes it as "bacterial SSU rRNA". It matches the Rfam family "Bacterial small subunit ribosomal RNA", at positions 8 to 350 of the family's 1533-position model. The record is from RNAcentral.
AGAGUUUGAUCCUGGCUCAGGAUGAACGCUAGCUACAGGCUUAACACAUGCAAGUCGAGGGGAAACGACAUCGAAAGCUUGCUUUUGAUGGGCGUCGACCGGCGCACGGGUGGGUAACGCGUAUCCAACCUGCCCAUCACUUGGGGAUAACCUUGCGAAAGUAAGACUAAUACCCAAUGACGUCUCUAGAAGACAUCUGAAAGAGAUUAAAGAUUUAUCGGUGAUGGAUGGGGAUGCGUCUGAUUAGCUUGUUGGCGGGGUAACGGGCCACCAAGGCGACGAUCAGUAGGGGUUCGUGAGAGGAAGGUCCCCCACCAUUGGAACUGAGACACGGUCCAAACUCCUACCGGAGGCA